This 1155-nucleotide ribosomal RNA is filed under the name Triticum aestivum (bread wheat). RNAcentral's name for it is "partial small subunit ribosomal RNA". The record is from RNAcentral. Lineage: Eukaryota; Viridiplantae; Streptophyta; Magnoliopsida; Poales; Poaceae.
AUGGACGAACACGCCGGCGGCCGCCGCCGCGCCGAUCCGCCUCCGUGGUCUCCCCCGCUUCAGCUUCCCCCAGACGACAUGCUCCUGGAGAUCCUCCUCCGCCUCCCGCCGGAGCCCAUCCACCUGUUCCGCGCCUCCUUCGUCUCCAAGCACUGGCGCGGCCUCGUCCACGACGCCCGCUUCCGCCGCCGCUUCCGCGAGUUCCACGGGGGGACGCCUCCCAUGCUCGGCUUCUUCAACAGCUGCCCAGGGGCUCCCAUCUUCGUCCCCACCUCCGGCGGCUUCGCGCUCUCCACCGCCAACAUGUCCCUCGAUUGGCGGGCCCUCGAUUGCCGCCACGGCCGCGCCCUCCUGCACAACUACGGUACCAGGACGCUCCUCGUCUGGGACCCCAUGACCGGCGACGAGCGCUACCUACCGUUCCCCACGCGAGCCCAUCUGGAGAACGUCCAUUACAAUGGCGCGGUUCUCUGCGCGGCUGGCCACACGGGCCACGGGGACUGCCAUUCCUGCCCGUUCCUCGUGGCAUUCGUGUUCAGCAGCUACAGAUAUUGCAUCACCUCUGCCUGCGUCUACUCGUCCGUGACCGGCGUCUGGGGUGAGAUCACUUCGAUUCAUACACCAGAUUCAUUAGUUGAUGCAAAGCCGACAGCUCUGGUUGGAAACACACUCUACUGCCUGUUGAGUAAUGAGGAUAGCAUCAUUGAGUUUAAUUUGGAUAAGAAUAGCUUGGAUUUAAUUGAGGUUCCAUACGGCGGAAAUUUUAUCAUCACACUGGCACAGGAUGGUCCUCUAGGUUUCGCCAGUGUUGAUCGAUUCAGCCUACAUUUGUGGUCAAGGGUAGCUAGCAUCGAUGGGGUGGCAUCAUGGGAACAUAUCAGGGUCAUUGAUCUGGAGAAGCUUUUUGCGCCACAAGUAUUGGCAGCGUGUAUGGAUCGAAUGUGGCCUGUUGGCUAUGCUGAAGAUGCGAAUGUGAUCUUCAUUCAUGUGUAUCCUCGCACCUACAUGAUCCAUCUCAAGUCCAUGCAGAUUGAGGGGAUUUUAGAGGAAGCAACUGGCUGGUCCAUUUUUCCUUAUGCAAGUUUCUACACUCCAGGACCAGGAAUCACCACUGGUGGUGGAGAUGAUCAAGUUGAACUGUUAAAUGGCACUUGA